AACGAACGCUGGCGGCAUGCCUAACACAUGCAAGUCGAACGAGACCUUCGGGUCUAGUGGCGCACGGGUGCGUAACGCGUGGGAAUCUGCCCUUGGGUUCGGAAUAACAGUUAGAAAUGACUGCUAAUACCGGAUAAUGUCUUCGGACCAAAGAUUUAUCGCCCAGGGAUGAGCCCGCGUAGGAUUAGCUAGUUGGUGAGGUAAAGGCUCACCAAGGCGACGAUCCUUAGCUGGUCUGAGAGGAUGAUCAGCCACACUGGGACUGAGACACGGCCCAGACUCCUACGGAGGCAGCAGUGGGGAAUAUUGGACAAUGGGCGAAAGCCUGAUCCAGCAAUGCCGCGUGAGUGAUGAAGGCCUUAGGGUUGUAAAGCUCUUUUACCCGGGAUGAUAAUGACAGUACCGGAGAAUAAGCCCCGCUAACUCCGUGCCAGCAGCCGCGGUAA
RNAcentral lists this ribosomal RNA (446 nucleotides) under uncultured bacterium. RNAcentral's name for it is "bacterial SSU rRNA". It matches the Rfam family "Bacterial small subunit ribosomal RNA", at positions 29 to 523 of the family's 1533-position model. The record is from RNAcentral.